This 274-nucleotide ribosomal RNA is filed under the name uncultured bacterium. RNAcentral's name for it is "partial 16S ribosomal RNA". It matches the Rfam family "Bacterial small subunit ribosomal RNA", at positions 523 to 796 of the family's 1533-position model. The record is from RNAcentral.
AUACGGAGGGUGCGAGCGUUAAUCGGAAUUACUGGGCGUAAAGCGCGCGUAGGUGGUUAAUUAAGUCAGAUGUGAAAGCCCAGGGCUCAACCUUGGAACUGCAAUUGAAACUGAUUGACUAGAGUUUUGUAGAGGGUGGUAGAAUUUCAGGUGUAGCGGUGAAAUGCGUAGAGAUCUGAAGGAAUACCAGUGGCGAAGGCGGCCACCUGGACAAAGACUGACACUGAGGCGCGAAGGCGUGGGGAGCAAACGGGAUUAGAAACCCUUGUAGUCC